UACCAGCACCUCGAGUGGUCAGGAGGUUUAUUGGGCCUAAAGCAUCCGUAGCCGGCUUUGCAAGUCUCCGGUUAAAUCCAACUGCUCAACAGAUGGGCUGCCGGAGAUACUACAAAGCUAGGGAGCGGGAGAGGCAGACGGUAUUCGGUGGGUAGGGUAAAUCCUCUGAUCCAUUGAGGACCGCCAGUGGCGAAGGCGGUCUGCCAGAACGCGUUCGACGGUGAGGGAUGAAAGCUGGGGGAGCAAACCGGAUUAGAACCGU
This 262-nucleotide ribosomal RNA is filed under the name uncultured bacterium. Its description in RNAcentral is "partial 16S ribosomal RNA". It matches the Rfam family "Archaeal small subunit ribosomal RNA", at positions 474 to 740 of the family's 1478-position model. The record is from RNAcentral.